This is a long non-coding RNA of Camelus dromedarius (Arabian camel), 6384 nucleotides long. RefSeq lists it as uncharacterized. The record is from RefSeq and is a predicted model, not a curated record. Lineage: Eukaryota; Metazoa; Chordata; Mammalia; Artiodactyla; Camelidae. The transcript is spliced from 6 exons.
CAUAAAGUUAACCAUUACACCUAGCCAUCAGAAAGUGUGGCUCAAAAAAUGUUCUAGAACCAGACCAAUCAGAUUAACAUUCCUUCCUUUUGUGCGGAGAAACAGGGAAAGGGAACAGGCAACAUGUGCGUGGGGGUCCUCUUCCCUACAUGAAUGUACAACUCCCCUUUCUAGAUUUGAGGGCAAGAUAAGUAGCAUUUUCGUUUUGUUAUUUCCGAUAGAAACUAGUCCAUCGUCGGCACAGAAGUGGGCUUCAGUGAGCAUUUACUGAAUGAAUGAAGAGAAUCACUGUCCACAACAUAAAAGCAUCAAUCAACAAUGACUGACUGACUAAGUACCGGAUAUGUGCCUGGAUGCUGGGAUAUGCAGUGGGUGAUAUUAAAGAGAUGGAGAUGGCACGUCUUCCGGGGCACCUCGGUGGGGGAGUUAUAUCUUGAUGCUCGGAUUAGCACAUGAUUCUGAUGCUACUGAACACGGAGAAAGUAGGAAACUGAGGAAAAAUUAGAGUCCUGGUCAGCCUGAACUCCCAAGGCUGUUUUCAUCACCAGCAAAGGACCGUGUUUCCCAAUAAGGAAACUGAGGAUCAGAGAGGCUGACUAAUUUGCCCGAUAUCACACAGCUGGUAACAGACAGAGAUGCAUGUUAUCAGUGUGAAAACGGCCUUGACGUUGAUGAUAAUGAGAGGCCUCCUGGGCCCAUGAGCCAGGAGACCUGGGCUGCAGGCUGAGGAUGAAGCACCUUCAGGCAGAGACAGUUUUAAAGUUACCAAACAUUGCUGAGAUGCAAAUACACUGAGGCUACAGAAGAAGGAGUGGAGGAGGAUGGUUGACAUUCUCAGGAACCAUCUUGCUGGGCUCUCCCGCUCCUAUGCUGGCUUUGAAGAAGCCCCAUGGAGCCCCAUGUGGGAAGAAACCAUGGAAUGCCUCAAGGACUUAAGGGCAGUUUACAGCCUUCAUCCAGCAAGAAAAUGAGGCAGAUGCAAGGAGCUGAAUUCUGCCAACAACUACAUGAGCUUGGAAGUGGAUCCUUCCAUAGUCAAGUCUUGAAUGAUGCUGCAUCUCUGACUGACAUCUUGAUUGCAGUCUUGUAAGACCCUGAGGCAGAGAACCCACUUACACCAUGCGUAGACCCCUAACUCAUAGAAACUGUGAGAAAACACAUGUGUAUAGUUUAACCUUCUAAGUUUGUGGAAAUAUUGUUAGACAGUAAUAGAAAACUAAUGUAAUCUAUUUGCUAUAGUGGAAUGACUGUCAGUCAUUGGUGUCAGAGGAUAUCUUUAAGGAAGCCCAUGAAAAAGUCAAAUGGGCAGGUGGCGGUAUAAAUACCUCAAGUUAAAAUGAUGCCAAGUAUGUAACUCAACCCAGGACCUAUUCCCCAUAUAGGCUGUAGGAGCGUUGGGGCAUUUACUGGGGCUUCAUACUCUUGCAGUAACUCAUCCAUACUUUGGAGAUACAGAAUUCUAUACUCCCCAAAAGACCAGAAAAUUGACGCUCUGCAGUAUGUUCUCAUCACGCUGUGAAAGGACAUUGGGAAAACUCCAUUUCCCACAUACUUCUUAUUAGACCAAAAAGAUACCUUUAAAAAUUAACUAAAAUGCAAAUGCAGAAACAGCAGGUACAUCUUUCUCAUUCCUUAAAGCAAAGAACAGACUUCUUCAAAACAGAGGUUCAAAGGUCACUAUUUUUCUUCUUUGUUAGCAACAUAACAUGGUGUGGGCUGAAGAAACUAGAGAAGAAAAAACUGCUUACAGCAAAUUUUCUUCACCCUAUUUUGUUUUGUGCUUCUGGAGCAGGACUCCUCCAGGUUAAUGGUGCUGCCAGAUCCAAAAGGUCCUUUGGAGCAAUUCAAUACAGCUGGAAACUGCUCUGACAGCCGCCCGUGACAAUGAGAGAGGAAGAGGCCCACGGAGACUGUAAUCUCACAUUCCCCUGUGGCUGAACAGAUAGUCGAGCUUUUCUCCUAACCUCAGGGUAGAUAUGUUACAAAGCUUGACUCCAUUCGACUUCCAGAUGGGAACCAGGACCUUUGAUUUGUAAAGAGGCAUCUACUCUGCUUGGAGAAGAUCAAACUGUAUGUAAUAUGAGGGAGGAUUGUGUGAACUGACCAGAUUACCCUGCAUCAGAGGUAAUGCUGGAAGUUGGAAUGAGGACUCCUAGCUCUGAAAGCCACGUAACCAUUUAGAGCGUUGUUUGGAAAUCAAAGUACAAACCAGCUCUAGGAUGGCUGAUAGGUCUCAGGGUUUGAAUCUAGUCUGAACUGAUUGGGAAGGACUUCCUGAAAGUGGACUAGAGAAGGAGCUCGAAGGUGAAUCCACUGGGACGGAAGAGUGAUGUGGGCCAUGUGUGCUUGGAAGUCAAAGAGCAGUGAGCCGGAGGCCCGGAGGGCUGGCACUUCGAGAUCGCACAGGAUAGCUCGCUAAAGGAGCCCUACAGGAAGCUAUAGACUACCUCCCGAAUAAUUCUAACCUCUGUUGAAAAAAAAUCUUUCUUUUGUUCAAUGAACACAGUCAAGGCAAACAAAUCAACACCUUUUAAAGCAGAAUAAGGCAAGGUGUUACUUGUUUUUGUGUUUGUUUAUUUGUUUUGUUUUCAGCUAUCAUCCAGCAGUCCCUGGACUUGGGGAGUUUUUAUGAAGCAUUUAAUCCUAAGCAAUGCAAUUUGGGCUAACAUCCUGCAGUUUAAGUAGCUGUUGAAGUAAGAUGCCAUUUUAAAGCAAACCAAUAUAGAAAAUAAUACACUGUUCUUUGCUGAUCAGAAGGGCUCCACAGUCAUUUAGAGAUUCGACUGAAAGUUAUUUUUCCAACACUGGCACUGGGCUGGCCACAAAUUUACCAGAUUUUCUAUCUCCCAUAUGGCUCAUAGGCAUUUUGCCUUCUGUGGUAAACUCUCAGAAUGAAGCUGUUAUCCGCAAAGGCAUCUAGUUAGGGUCCUCACUAUUAUCAUGCUUUAAUUACCCAAGACUUUGCAGAAUAACCCACUGAGCUCAACUGCAGAAGCUUCGAACCUACAAAUUUCCACAACUGUCUAUUGCUAAUUGCCCUGCAAGUGUCCAGCAGAGCAGCUGGGAGGGAACAGCAAAUUUUUUUCCCUUUUUUUAAUAUUGUUUUUCAAUGAAAAGUUUUUGGAUCUAAAAAGAAAGAUUCCUAUUAGCUUGUUUCUUCCCUAGUUCUGUUUCUAAAGGACUCCCAACUAUGAAGGCCUGGCUGUUCUGGGAAUCUAAACUACUGUACUACAGCCCAGGCCUCCAGGGAAUGUUUCCAUGGUUCACUGGAGCAAAUGAAGGAAAGAGGCCAGCAAUUACGAACAGAUUGUGAAUCAUUUUCUACAGCAUAAUUAGGCUUCUGGAAUCCCUAGAGGGCCCGUCCACGGAAGCAGUCCAAAGUCCUGGAGAAACAACUCAAUGUUUAUGGUUCAUCCAUUCAAUAGAAUAUGAUGCAGCCAUUCAAACUAGGGGGCAGAGGCAUGUCCAACUUCAGGGAAAGCUGUCCACAAAGAUUCAUAGGUUUAAAUAAAAAAGUCUGAGAGAAUAUAUACCCAAGUAGCAGCCAUGGCAAUUUCCAGAUUGAGGUGUAAUGUCUUCCUUCUUUCCUUCCCUCCCUACCUCCUUCCUUCUUUCCUUUCUUCCUUUUUCUUUUUUUUUUUUUUUUUUUUUGAAUUUUAUCAAUAUUCUAUAGUAAGCAUUUAUGACUUCUGAAAUUUUCAGAAAUGUUCCCUGGGUUCUCUGGGUACCAUUGAGUGGAUAUUCAGACCUCAAAGCCUCUUCCUGCUCUGGCUUUGCCCCACAGCCCUGCAGGACCCCUCUGAUUUGUACUGUGGCUCUGCAGUAGAUAAGAACAUUUUGAAAAUCAGACCUGGUAGCUACUGUCCAAGUGACCUUGGCAAAUUUGGUUACUCAGUGACCCUCCGAUUUCUUGUCUAUGAAAUAAGGAACUUAAUACUACCUACACUCAAGCACUGCGGUCACAUGAGGGAAUUGUGUAUUAUCAAAUGAGGCCAAACGAGAUAGUACAUGGAAAAGCAUUUAUGAACUGUAAACAGUGUGCAAUUUUUAGCUCUUAUCAUGAUUUCCUUGCUGUCCACACAGGGGCAGGAGAGGUCAAGAGGGCCCAAGCCCAGGGUGGCAGGACUGCCUCUUACAAGAGGCUCAGUGUGGUAUUGUCAUCAUUCCUUUCCGACAGAAAUGCUGUUAUCCAAAUCAGUUUCCCUAGUUGUCUCAAUAAUGCAUUUCUAUUUUCUCCCAAUUCAGUAUUUAUUCAAAAAGGCUUUUAGAAACACUAGCUGUGAAACGCGAGGAAAGUGGUAUACAAGUAGAACAGCUUAUGAAAGGUCCCGAGAUGUUACCAAAUGUGCACAGUGGCUGCGGUGUUUGAGAAUUACAGUGCCAGGGCCACAGCGUUCAAAAGCCUAUUCUCUAAAGAUGCCCUGGACUUCUCUGUGUGCCUGGUCCUCUGCCUGUGGUUAGACUGAAAACAACCAUAUUAAUAAAAGUUGCAACUCAAAAUUGCCCUUUUGACAGUAAAUUGUUGGCCCCAUGAAGAAUAUUAGCCUAAAUGAAUAAGCUUCACUGCAAAAGAGAAAAAUGCAGGUGCAUCUUGCUUGUUAUUCAACUGUCUACUCUCGGCUUCCUCACAAUGCAGGCAUAGAUAAAUUCUUUUACACUUAGAAGCUAUUUGAUUGAAAUUCUAAAAAUAUGUGCAAUGAUAGAUAAGAAAUAUAGUGUAUCAACGACUCCAGCACACAGGCAUACGUUAAAGCCCUGUGCAUUUUAUUUUUCAAAGAAAAAUCGCAGAUUGUGCAAUGAAAACUCACAAAUCCUUCACUUUGAUUUACCAAAUAUUAACAUUUUGCCUCAUUUGCUUUAUUUUUCUCCCUCUAUAUUCACAUUGUUGCUGUUGUUGUUGAACCUUUAGAGAGGAAGUCGUGAAUCUUAGUUCUUAUGGGUCUUCCUCUAUUAAUUUCAAUGCCUGAAAUUUGUUUCCCAAACAUAAAAAUAUUUUGGAGUUUUCCGCUGCAUCCAAAACUCCUCCUCCAUUUAACUUUUCAAGAGGAUAAUAUGCCUCUUUGCAGCUGAGCUUUUGGGUUCCAAGACCAGCCCUGCCCCUUCACAGCAACAUGCCCUUUAAAAAGUCGCUUAAUAUUCCUCCAGCUCAGUUUUCAUACCUGUUGUGGGAGGUGAUUACGUAUAUGUCCUUGUAUUGCAGUGAAGAUUAAAUUAAAUAGCAUGGAAAGCACUUUGUAAACUGUAACUUUUCUGUGUAUCUCCAAAGUGUUGUUAUUCACAGUCCCAAUGAAACAGAAUUGACUCAGGUUCUCCUAAUUAUGAAUUGGCCUGAAAACCACUUUUCAGGUAUUUGGCAGUGCCUGCAGCAGUGUGGGUGUUUGCAGGCACUCACAAAGCCAUUAGGAAAGGCACGGAGCUUCCCUGGGGGUUACGUCCCUGCCUAGGGUUACUGCCGACCCUCGGGCAGUGGUUCUCUAGUAUUAGCAUCACAAUUACUGCAGGGCUGUUACCACCCAGACCGCUGGGCCCCCACCAUUAAAUUUGGUGAAGUGGUGAUCAGGUUUAUUUAUUUGUUAAUGGAGGAACUGAGGCCUGAACCCAGGACCUUGUGCAUGCUAAGCAUGCUCUCUACCGCUGAGCUAAACCCUCCCCCCUGGAUUUUGAUUCAGUAGGUCUGGGAUGCGCCUGAGACGCUGCAUUUCAGACACUUCCCUGGUGAUGCCGACGCUGCUGUUCCAGGACCACACUGUGAGAACCCACUGUUCUAAACUGUGGUAAGCCUGGGUAGGUUAUUCUCACAGGUACUCCUAUGUGGGAAAGGCUAAGGUCUGUAGAAAAGCUUUACACUCUGAAGUGGUGCCUCGCAAACCUUAAUAGGCAUACAAAUCACCUAAGGAUGCUUGGUAUCUGUGGCUUUUGCUUCAUUAGGUUUAAGGUGGGCACGUGAGUCUGUUUCUAAAAGCACUCAGGUGAUGCUUAUGUGGCUCGUUCACUGACCAUACUUGGACUAACAAGGGUGAAAGGUACAGCUCAUGGCUAAUCAUUUGAUCUCUAUUAAAAAGAAAAAGAAAAGGCUGUUUCCUGUUUAUUCCUAAAUAUCCCAAGCUUCCUGCUGUCAGUCUCCAGCUCUUCAGAUUACUUGGACGGCGCAUUCAACCCUGCAGGAACCAAGGUAUGUUCUGUUUUGUUUUACUUAUCGUAUUUAAUAACAUAUUAGAAAGAGCUUAUAAAAGUACAUACAAUUAAAAAAGAUAACUAAAAAAGUUCUGCUUUGCAUCCAUGGCUCUUGACUGCCAAAGAAACAAAACUAGUUCACGAGAGGGGUCAGACUACUGACCUGUCAUUUAAAAUGCCUUGUGAAUUAAAUCAUCACUCUCCCUCUCA